Neltuma alba is the source of this 101-nucleotide long non-coding RNA. RefSeq lists it as uncharacterized. NCBI's taxonomy places the organism in Eukaryota, Viridiplantae, Streptophyta, Magnoliopsida, Fabales, Fabaceae. The transcript is spliced from 3 exons. The record is from RefSeq and is a predicted model, not a curated record.
AUCCUUCAGCUUCUUGUUAGAAAAUGUGUAGGGUUUUGCUCUUGGAUUCUUCUCAUCUGAACAUCUGCUUGUGCCAUAUAUUUAUAUUCUAAGAGUUCCCA